AACUUUCAACAACGGAUCUCUUGGUUCUCGCAUCGAUGAAGAACGCAGCGAAAUGCGAUACGUAAUAUGAAUUGCAGAUAUUCGUGAAUCAUCGAAUCUUUGAACGCACAUUGCGCC
This 117-nucleotide ribosomal RNA is filed under the name Candida tropicalis. RNAcentral describes it as "5.8S ribosomal RNA". It matches the Rfam family "5.8S ribosomal RNA", at positions 1 to 117 of the family's 154-position model. From Rfam's summary of the family: 5.8S ribosomal RNA (5.8S rRNA) is a component of the large subunit of the eukaryotic ribosome. It is transcribed by RNA polymerase I as part of the 45S precursor that also contains 18S and 28S rRNA. The record is from RNAcentral. Lineage: Eukaryota; Fungi; Ascomycota; Pichiomycetes; Serinales; Debaryomycetaceae.